Hippocampus comes (tiger tail seahorse) is the source of this 1086-nucleotide long non-coding RNA. RefSeq lists it as uncharacterized. The record is from RefSeq and is a predicted model, not a curated record. The transcript has 2 exons. Lineage: Eukaryota; Metazoa; Chordata; Actinopteri; Syngnathiformes; Syngnathidae.
ACAGAAGACAUAAGUCAGUUUUUUGUUUUUUUUUAACAUUACCGGUACAUUCCACGCAAGAUUUACAUGUCAGCUCAAAGUACGAUAAGAACGAUUGCUUAUUCAAGCAGUUUCUAGCUGGUCAGUUGUUUGUGCAACCCGAUGGGGGAAGGCUUCCUUCGAGAGCUUACUUGUUCUGCUUUUUUGACAUGCUGCUUGCACUCAUCCAAGAUGUCCAGCUCACAAUGUACACCAAUACUGUAUACUCUAUUGAAGUUCAAAUUUCUAGUGUAAUUAUUAUUAUUAUUUUUUGCACGUUCUGUAUCUUCAUCAGUAUGAAAUUUGGGCCUGUUAAACACAAAGCUGCUAUUCUGUUGUAUGAAUGGCAGUAGUCAUCAUUUCGCGAUGCAUACCAUACAUCUCUCGCAGCACAUAAGACUUAACACUUAAGGCUGAUGUCCAGGUUUACUUUUCUACAUUCUCAAGGGCCAAAAAAUGGUUCACUGUAAAAGUCGAGUGUAGGUGAGCAGUUCUUUUGAGGAUAACUACAAAAGUCACGUUACGAUAUGCUAUUUCACAGAUUUUUAAACAUUUUCCACAAAACAAAGAACAUUACUACAGUACAUCUUAACAACAAAUUGAUCUUGAAUUUAGGGGUCAUGAUAAAGUGUUUAGAAAAUAUUUUAUUUAAGUCUAGAACUAUAGUCCAUUUUAUGUUCAAAUGGGAUUUGGUGAAUGUAAAUACUUGUUAAAGUGGUUCAAGAAAAUGGUUCAACAACAGAAACUGACACUUUAGGUGCAUAUCCCCCCCCCCCCCCCCCCCCCACACACACACACACGCACACACAAAAGAAGAAAACAUUUGGUUUAGCAGGCCACAUGAACUGAUGUGGCAGUUUGGUUUUGGCCUCCUUUCUUUGAGUUGGAUUCUCAAGUUGGUAGCUGGCAGAACAAGGAAGUCGCAUUACUACACAGUAAGCAGCUAAGCUGGGAACAAGUCAACUGACAAAGGAGAUAAAGCUAUAUUAGACUGAGCUUGGCCUGGCCUCAGACUGUUUAAGCCCCUUGACCGCCCAAGGGAUUUGCUCUCCUUCAAAUUCAAGGUGG